Molecule: ribosomal RNA, 433 nt
Filed under: uncultured bacterium
Lineage: Bacteria
Description: partial 16S ribosomal RNA
Rfam family: Bacterial small subunit ribosomal RNA
Source: RNAcentral
AACGAACGCUGGCGGCAUGCCUAACACAUGCAAGUCGAACGAGACCUUCGGGUCUAGUGGCGCACGGGUGCGUAACGCGUGGGAACCUGCCCUUAGGUUCGGAAUAACUCCCCGAAAGGGGUGCUAAUACCGGAUAAUGUCUUCGGACCAAAGAUUUAUCGCCUUUGGAUGGGCCCGCGUUGGAUUAGCUAGUUGGUAGGGUAAAAGCCUACCAAGGCGACGAUUCAUAGCUGGUCUGAGAGGAUGAUCAGCCACACUGGGACUGAGACACGGCCCAGACUCCUACGGGAGGCAGCAGUGGGGAAUAUUGGACAAUGGGCGAAAGCCUGAUCCAGCAAUGCCGCGUGAGUUAUGAAGGCCUUAGGGUUGUAAAGCUCUUUUACCCGGGAUGAUAAUGACAGUACCGGGAGAAUAAGCUCCGGCUAACUCCGUG